CUUGGUCAUUUAGAGGAAGUAAAAGUCGUAACAAGGUUUCCGUAGGUGAACCUGCGGAAGGAUCAUUAUCGAAUUAUAAGCGAGGGUUGUUGCUGGCCUCUUUCGAGGCACGUGCACGCCCGAGCUCUUAAAUCCACAACACACCUGUGAACCCACCGUAGGCCUUCGGGCUUAUGUAUCAUAUACUCUGAAUGUGUCAUAGAAUGUUCAUGUUGCCUUAAAACGCAAUCAAAUACAACUUUCAACAACGGAUCUCUUGGCUCUCGCAUCGAUGAAGAACGCAGCGAAAUGCGAUAAGUAAUGUGAAUUGCAGAUUUUCAGUGAAUCAUCGAAUCUUUGAACGCACCUUGCGCUCCUUGGUAUUCCGAGGAGCAUGCCUGUUUGAGUGUCAUUAAAUUCUCAACCCCACCGAUUUGUUUUGGGGGGAUUGGACUUGGAGCGUGCUGGCGAAGGUCGGCUCCUCUUUAAAUGCAUCAGUGGAGAGAAACUUGCCCCAGUGUGAUAAUCCUGUUGCGCUGUGGUGGGCGAAAGUCUGCUUACAACCGUCCUCCGGGACAUACGCCAUCUUUAUUUUGACCUCAAAUCAGGUAGGACUACCCGCUGAACUUAAGCAUAUCAAUAAGCGGAGGA
This 630-nucleotide ribosomal RNA is filed under the name uncultured Amphinema. RNAcentral describes it as "eukaryotic LSU rRNA". The stretch from base 237 to 391 matches the Rfam family "5.8S ribosomal RNA". Lineage: Eukaryota; Fungi; Basidiomycota; Agaricomycetes; Atheliales; Atheliaceae. The record is from RNAcentral.